RNAcentral lists this transfer RNA (75 nucleotides) under Ectropothecium striatulum. RNAcentral's name for it is "tRNA-Pro". The record is from RNAcentral. Lineage: Eukaryota; Viridiplantae; Streptophyta; Bryopsida; Hypnales; Pylaisiaceae.
UGGAUCAUGGCGUACUUUGCUUAACGUACCAUCUUGGGGUGAUGCAGACCCCGCGUUCAAAUCCCGCUGCUCCAA